GAUGAACGCUGGCGGCGUGCCUAAUACAUGCAAGUCGAGCGAACAGACGAGGAGCUUGCUCCUCUGACGUUAGCGGCGGACGGGUGAGUAACACGUGGAUAACCUACCUAUAAGACUGGGAUAACUUCGGGAAACCGGAGCUAAUACCGGAUAAUAUAUUGAACCGCAUGGUUCAAUAGUGAAAGACGGUUUUGCUGUCACUUAUAGAUGGAUCCGCGCCGCAUUAGCUAGUUGGUAAGGUAACGGCUUACCAAGGCAACGAUGCGUACCCGACCUGAGAGGGGGAUCGCCCCCACGGGAACUGGGACCCGGCCCAGACCCCUACGGGAGGAAGAGGUAGGGAAUUUUCCGCAAGGGGCGAAGCCCUGAGGGGCAAACGCCGCGGAGGGAAGAAAGGUUUUGGGAUCGUAAAACCUUUUUUUUGGGGAAAAAAAAAGUGGUAAGUAAUUAUCCCGUUUUUGAGGGUCCCAAAUAAAAAGGCCCCGGUAAACUCCGU
Molecule: ribosomal RNA, 496 nt
Filed under: uncultured bacterium
Lineage: Bacteria
Description: partial 16S ribosomal RNA
Rfam family: Bacterial small subunit ribosomal RNA
Source: RNAcentral